Molecule: unclassified non-coding RNA, 391 nt
Filed under: uncultured fungus
Lineage: Eukaryota; Fungi
Description: sequence contains ITS1
Rfam family: 5.8S ribosomal RNA (bases 1-105)
Source: RNAcentral
GAAAUGCGAUACGUAGUGUGAAUUGCAGAAUUCCGUGAACCAUCGAAUCUUUGAACGCAUAUUGCGCUCGAGCCUUCGGGCAAGAGCAUGUCUGCCUCAGCGUCGGUUUACACCCUCACAACCCUAUCAUUGUCGAUAGUGCCAAGCUUGCAUGGCUUGCGGUUGUGGAAUUGGCUUCCCCAAUUGGCCCAGUUGUUGAUUGGGUUGGCUGAAGUUGAGAGGCUUAAGCAAGGACCCGUUAUGGGCAUCAACUGGAUAGGUAGUGCCAGCCGCUCGGCUGUCUACACGAAGUUGUUGCUUGUGGACUUUGCUAGGGGCCAGCAGGAAACACGCUUCGUGCGUGCCCUAAACUUUCGACCUGAGCUCAGGCAAGAUUACCCGCUGAACUUAA